UCAAGUGUCUUAAGGGCAUUUGGUGGAUGCCUUGGCGACUAGAGGCGAUGAAAGACGUGAUACGCUGCGAUAAGCGUCGGGGAGCUGCGAAUAAGCUUUGAUCCGGCGAUUUCUGAAUGGGGCAACCCACACCUUUAUGGUGUACCCGCAAGGGGGCAAACCCGGGGAACUGAAACAUCUAAGUACCCGGAGGAAAGGACAUCAACCGAGACUCCGCUAGUAGUGGCGAGCGAACGCGGACCAGGCCAGUGGUCAUAUUUUAAGAACCGGAACAAGUUGGGAAACUUGGCCUUAGUGGGUGAUAGCCCCGUACGGGUAGAAAGAGAUAUGAUCCUUGAGUAGGGCGGGACACGUGAAAUCCUGUCUGAACAUGGGGGGACCACCCUCCAAGCCUAAGUACUCCUAGUCGACCGAUAGCGCACCAGUACCGUGAGGGAAAGGUGAAAAGUACCCCGACGAGGGGAGUGAAAUAGUACCUGAAACCGAAUGCUUACAAACAGUUGGAGCCCGUAAGGGUGACAGCGUACCUUUUGUAUAAUGGGUCAGCGACUUAAUUUAACGAGCAAGCUUAAGCCGAUAGGUGUAGGCGUAGCGAAAGCGAGUCUUAAUAGGGCGUUUUAGUUCGUUGGAUUAGACCCGAAACCGAGUGAUCUAGCCAUGAGCAGGUUGAAGGUGCGGUAACACGCACUGGAGGACCGAACCCACGAAUGUUGAAAAAUUCGGGGAUGACUUGUGGCUAGGGGUGAAAGGCCAAUCAAACUCGGAAAUAGCUGGUUCUCCGCGAAAUCUAUUUAGGUAGAGCGUCCUGUGAAUACUCCUGGGGGUAGAGCACUGGAUGGGCUAUGGGGGCUCACCGCCUUACUGAUCCUAACCAAACUCCGAAUACCAGGAAGUACUGCAGGGCAGACACACAGUGGGUGCUAACGUCCAUUGUGGAGAGGGAAACAACCCUGACCGCCAGUUAAGGUCCCUAAGUUAUGGCUAAGUGGGAAAGGAUGUAGAGAUCCCAAAACAACCAGGAUGUUGGCUUAGAAGCAGCCAUCAUUUAAAGAAAGCGUAACAGCUCACUGGUCUAAAUAAGGGUCUCCGCGCCGAAAAUGUACCGGGGCUAAAGCCAUACACCGAAACUGCGGGUGCGUCUUAUGACGCGCGGUAGCGGAGCGUUCUGUAAGCUGAUGAAGGUGGACCCGUGAGGGCUGCUGGAGGUAUCAGAAGUGCGAAUGCUGACAUGAGUAACGAUAAAGAGGGUGAGAGACCCUCUCGCCGAAAGUCCAAGGGUUCCUGCGCAACGCUAAUCGGCGCAGGGUUAGCCGGCCCCUAAGGCGAGGCCGAAAGGCGUAGUCGAUGGGAACGGGGUUAAUAUUCCCCGGCCAGUGGGUAGUGACGGAUGCCGUGUAUCGUAUCUCCUUAUUGGAUUGGAGAUGCGGUGAAGGUGUUCCUGGAAAUAGCUCCCACGCUAAGACCGUACCCGAAACCGACACAGGUGGACAGGUAGAGUAUACCAAGGCGCUUGAGAGAACUGUGCUGAAGGAACUCGGCAAAUUGCUCCCGUAAGUUCGCGAGAAGGGAGCCCGGUACGAAGGCAACUUUGUAUCGGGGGCACAGAAUAGGGGGUUGCGACUGUUUAUCAAAAACACAGGGCUCUGCGAAGCCGCAAGGCGACGUAUAGGGUCUGACGCCUGCCCGGUGCUGGAAGGUUAAGAGGAGGUGUGCAAGCACCGAAUUGAAGCCCCAGUAAACGGCGGCCGUAACUAUAACGGUCCUAAGGUAGCGAAAUUCCUUGUCGGGUAAGUUCCGACCUGCACGAAUGGCGUAACGACUUCCCCGCUGUCUCCAGCACAGACUCAGUGAAAUUGAAUUCCCCGUGAAGAUGCGGG
RNAcentral lists this ribosomal RNA (1877 nucleotides) under Pseudovibrio sp. JE062. RNAcentral describes it as "bacterial LSU rRNA". It matches the Rfam family "Bacterial large subunit ribosomal RNA", at positions 1 to 2065 of the family's 2925-position model. The record is from RNAcentral. Lineage: Bacteria; Pseudomonadati; Pseudomonadota; Alphaproteobacteria; Hyphomicrobiales; Stappiaceae.